UAAGCAAGACAAUGAUCCAAAACACACCGCCAACACAACAAAGGACUUUAUCGGGGGAAAAGUGGAAGGUCUUAGACUGGUCAAGUCAAUCACCAGACCUUAACCCAAUUGAGCAGCAUUUCACCUCCUGAAGAAGAGACUGAAGGAAUAAACCCCUCAAAACAACCGAAAGAGGCUGCGGUACGAGCCUGAAAAAGCAUCACAAAAGAAGAAUGAAACUAUAUCAGGCUGCCCUGAUAUAGUUAUUGCAAGCAAGCGAUAUGCAACCAAAUAUUAAGUGUUAUUUGCUUUCAUUUACUUUAAGACUAUCUGUUCCUAUAAUUUUGCUCACCUAAAAAGUGGGUGGUCUUGUUCAAAGUUGUUUAACACAUCUAGAUAUAAAUAUCGGGAAACGAAAGCUGAAAUUCUGAUCUAUCAUCUCACAUUCAUCUUUUGCUCUCAAACCCAAAUGCCUUCAGUAUAGCAUAAACAAUGGAAUUGGCCUUACCGUUCCAGUACUUUCGGAGGGGGCUGUAUAUUUAAAGAUUUAACUCAUCCACUAAUUACCAAUAGCUGAGACAGAUGUCGUAAAUACUGUGCGCUGACUUGAAUUCCCACCGUGGCCCUGUGUGUGCGGAGUAUGCAUGCUGCGGGGGUUUCCUCCAGGUACUCCGGUUUUCUCCCCCACGCUGAUUGGCGUGUCCAGAGUGUCCGUAGUGUAUGAAUGUGUAUGUGAUUGUGCCCUGCGAUGGAUUGGCACCCUGUCCAAGCUGUACCCUGCCUUGUGCCCGAUGCUCCCUGGGAUAGGGUACAGGUUUCCCCGUGAUCCUGAAAAGGAUAAAAGAUGGAUGGAUGGAUGGAUUUUGACUGGCAUUUUAUAGAGGUUGAUCUUUGGAUUGGGGCCUGUAAUUUUUCACUACCUGUUAUAUUGGACACUCCAACACUAGAACUGUGUACUGGUCGGCGCUACACUGUUACUUACUGUGCUCAUUGUCCUGUUUUAGUAGUUAGUGUACUGUCUUGUGUUGUUUACACAUGUUUGCACGUGCACUUUAUGUAGAAUGUGUAGGUCUUAUUUAGUUCUGUGUCGUCUCGUGUGGUCAGGGUGUUGUUGUAUGUAGCACCGUGGUCCUGGAUGAACGUUGUUUCAUUUCACUGUGUACUGUACCAGCUGUAUAUGGUUGAAAUGACAAUAAAAAGCCACUUGACCACUUGACUUGAUUUGAUUUUUCAGGUAAACAAAGAAACGAAUGAUGCAGGCAUUAAAUGUUAAACCUUAAUUUUGGAUGCUUUGGAAGCCUGCUUAUGUAUGUGCUGUUCAAAUAACGUGCAGGAUCACGUUCCCCAUAUUUCUUAUAGCGGAUGCUUACAGUGGGCUUGUUGUGAACAGAUUUUUAUAAAGGUCACUAUAUACCCAGAAGUCUAUUUUUUUCUGGUAAGCCGGUUUUAAAGAAGUGUGUAGACUGAGGAGGUUGACAUUCAUGUUUGGAUUUUUCCUGCAGUACCUUUGAUUAUACUCGUAUUGCACACACAAUUGAAAAGGGGACGGUCCAAAGGGGACAUGGUAAACUGACAGCUCUUCUGCUCCAGUCCCGUUGCCUUAUGGGAUAGCACAGUAUCCACAGUGUCCAGUGAUUCCAUACGGCAGAAUGUCGGCGGAAGCAGUAGGUCAUCCAGG
Ictalurus punctatus (channel catfish) is the source of this 1657-nucleotide long non-coding RNA. The record is from Ensembl. Lineage: Eukaryota; Metazoa; Chordata; Actinopteri; Siluriformes; Ictaluridae.